Molecule: ribosomal RNA, 255 nt
Filed under: uncultured bacterium
Lineage: Bacteria
Description: partial 16S ribosomal RNA
Rfam family: Bacterial small subunit ribosomal RNA
Source: RNAcentral
GACGUAGGGCGCGAGCGUUGUCCGGAUUUAUUGGGCGUAAAGAGCUCGUAGGCGGCUUGUUGCGUCGACCGUGAAAACCCGCGGCUUAACUGCGGGCUUGCGGUUGAUACGGGCGGGCUGGAGUUCGGUGAGGGGAGACUGGAAUUCCUGGUGUAGCGGUGAAAUGCGCAGAUAUCAGGAAGAACACCAAUGGCGAAGGCAGCUCUCUGGGACGGUACUGACACUGAGACGCGAAAGCGUGGGGAGCGAACAAGG